UACGUAGGGUGCGAGCGUUGUCCGGAUUUAUUGGGCGUAAAGAGCUCGUAGGCGGUUUGUCGCGUCGGCCGUGAAAUCUCCACGCUUAACGUGGAGCGUGCGGUCGAUACGGGCAGACUUGAGUUCGGUAGGGGAGGCUGGAAUUCCUGGUGUAGCGGUGAAAUGCGCAGAUAUCAGGAGGAACACCGGUGGCGAAGGCGGGUCUCUGGGCCGAUACUGACGCUGAGGAGCGAAAGCGUGGGGAGCGAACAGG
RNAcentral lists this ribosomal RNA (253 nucleotides) under uncultured bacterium. RNAcentral's name for it is "partial 16S ribosomal RNA". It matches the Rfam family "Bacterial small subunit ribosomal RNA", at positions 524 to 776 of the family's 1533-position model. The record is from RNAcentral.